RNAcentral lists this long non-coding RNA (1282 nucleotides) under Homo sapiens (human). Its description in RNAcentral is "HSALNT0356261". The record is from RNAcentral. Lineage: Eukaryota; Metazoa; Chordata; Mammalia; Primates; Hominidae.
UUUUGUAUUCAAUAUGGAGACAUUAAAGACAUUUUAGCAGAGGAGUGAUCUAAUCACAGCUCCACAUUUGACAAUGGAUAUGGGAUGGAUUAGCGGGCAGAAAGAUGGGAAAAGGAGAAACUAGCCCUAGGCCAUUGCAGGAGCCCAGGUAAAAGGGGGCAUCUAAGAGGGCAACUUGGAGAGAUGGGGAUGGAUGCGAGAGAACUUGCAAAGGAGAAUCAGGGGAACCUGGAAAUUGACUAGAUGAGGUGGACUGAGGUAGAAUGAGUCUAUGCCAGGUGACGGGGAAGCGACUCCUUUAUGCUGCUUUCUCAAACACCCCUGGAGCCUCUUUGAAGGGUAUAUCAAGUCCCGAGGAGCCAGUGUUUGAGAAGAGAUGAUAAACUGAGCUUCAGACAUCUUGAGUUGCUGAUGGGGUAUCUUGAUCAAGUGGUUCAACAGGCAGAGAGUGGAGUUAGGAAGAGAUAUGCAUGGGGGCGGUCUGCCCAGAAUCCCCCUUGCAGUCAUGGGAAGGCUGUGAGGUCACAAAGAGAGACCUUGACAGUGGAGAGCAUGGAUUUAUCAAUGGGGAAUCCCAUUGAUUUGACAAUCACCCUGCAUAAGAGGUGGAAGGCAGAGAGCGCUGGAGCUGGACAGGGAGAUGAGAAGGCAGUCUGAGAGGCGGUGAGGAGCAGCCGUCGGUGGCCUGGUGGCAGUUUAUAGGCCCAGGGCCAUAUGUCCCAGAGUGACAUGCAGGGUUGCAAUUCUGCAAUGACAAAGAACAGCUGCGGUGACCACAGCGUGAACCACGACUGAUGACAAUCUGCAGGGAUUUUUGCAUCAAACCGGCAGUGUGGCUCGCAUAAUGGAUGAUGUCAUCCUUGAAGGCAGAAACCAUGUGUCCCCAGAAGUAUGUUGGCUCUCAAUAAGUAGCUGUUGAAUAAAUGAGUUGCUGGAUAUUCACAACUCACAUUUGCUAAGCGUGGAUGUGCCAGGUUCCGUGUGUGUGUUUAUGUCAUUGAAUCUUCGUAACAACUUAAUGAGGGAUGGGGAUAACAACUUAUUUACAGAUAAAUAACAACUUAUUUACAGAUGGGGAUACAGAGGCUUAAAGAAGUUCAAUAACCUGCCUCAGUUUGCCCAGCUAGUUAGUGGUUGAGCGACCUCUUAUCCACUCUUAGAGGGACUGGGAAAGCCUCCAGCUGAGGAUUUGAAUCUCAGGGGUGUUCACAGCCACUGUGAACCAAGAUAGGGAAGAUGUGUGGUGGCGAGCUUUCUUCUAACUCUCUUCAAGUAGCUUCUC